GACGAACCGUGCGAACGUUAUUCGGAAUCACUGGGCUUAAAGCGCGUGUAGGCGGCCCGGCACGUCCGUCGCUGAAAUCCCCCGGCUCAACCGGGGAAGGGGCGCGGAUACGACCGGGCUGGAGGGGGGUAGGGGGAGCCGGAACUUCCGGUGGAGCGGUGAAAUGCGUAGAUAUCGGAAGGAACACCUGUGGCGAAAGCGGCUCACUGGACCAUUACUGACGCUGAGGCACGAAAGCUAGGGGAGCAAACAGG
Molecule: ribosomal RNA, 254 nt
Filed under: uncultured bacterium
Lineage: Bacteria
Description: partial 16S ribosomal RNA
Rfam family: Bacterial small subunit ribosomal RNA
Source: RNAcentral